RNAcentral lists this ribosomal RNA (322 nucleotides) under uncultured eukaryote. Its description in RNAcentral is "partial 18S ribosomal RNA". It matches the Rfam family "Eukaryotic small subunit ribosomal RNA", at positions 1470 to 1796 of the family's 1831-position model. The record is from RNAcentral.
CCCUUAGAUGUUCUGGGCCGCACGCGCGCUACACUGACGAAGUCAGCGAGCAUGUCCUACGCCGACAGGUGCGGGGAAUCUUGUCAAACUUCGUCGUGAUGGGGAUUGAUUAUUGAAAUUCUUGAUCAUCAACGAGGAAUUCCUAGUAAGCGCAAGUCAGCAGCUUGCGUUGAUUACGUCCCUGCCCUUUGUACACACCGCCCGUCGCUACUACCGAUUGAGCGAUCCGGUGAAUGUUUUGGACUGGCGUCAGAAGCGGUUCGCUCCUGACACUACGAAAUUUUGUAAACCUUAUCGCUUAGAGGAAGGAAAAGUCGUAACA